AUAUUUUCAAGCUGCCAAGGGGGCAGUUCUAGGAACAAGAUCUCAUUUUCCUGAAAAUCUAGAAAUUGCCCUUCUGAUAUGUCUAUUGAAAUCACUCUAGGGCUACACUUUUGGAGACAAGAAAAGAAAGAUGCCACAUUUUAAAUCAAAACAUCCUGGGAGUGCCUAGAAGAGCUAGAAGAGUAUAAGGAAGCCUGUGGGCUGCUUUCAAAGAUGAGAAAGACAAUAGCAUAAAAGAGGCCAUUCAUCCUACUUGAGCUUUAAUCAAGAAACAGAAUGAAAGGAAAUAAAACCUGGGCGGUGGAACAACAAAAGACCAUCAUUACCAUUACCGAGGAAUCUCAAACACUAUGGCAAGAUGAAAACAACCUUCCUGCUAAAGCUGUUAACUGUUAUAGAAAAUCCCUACUUCCUAACAAUGAGCUGCCAGAACGACAAUUUCUGCCACAGUGUGCUUAAAAUUUAUACAAAGUCCCAUAGGAGAAGGAGAAACAAACAAAAAGUCUAAUCGUAAUUGAAUGCGAGAAUGAAGAGAAUAUAUGAGCACACAAUCAAAGGUUUGUUUGCAUUUUAUCCUGACCCCCUACCCCAGUCCCAUGUGAUCAGAAGUCACCAAAUGCAAGGAAUCAAAGACUGGAUAAGUCUUAAUAUGAAGACAAUUCAAGUUAAGCCCUCCCAGUGUGCAAAAAAAACAUGCUAAGCACUAGGGAUACAAAUAUGGGUCAGUAGGGAAUGCCUGCCCAGGAAGAAUUUACAUUGAAACAAGAGAGGCAUCAUGCAAACAACUUCCUUGAACAUAUGAAUAUAUACAAUGUAAGUAAAAGGUAAUUGCUGAGGUAGGGUAAUGGCAGAGGGGAGGUAGAGAAAGUCCUCUCAGAGAAGGUAGAAUUUGGGCUGAAUCUUGAAGGAUAUCAUGAAAGCCAAGAGGCAAGGAUCAGGAAAGAGACAAUUUUAGGAAUAUAGGGCAGGCAAUGGAACAGCAUGGAGGUUGGAGUGGGGUAGCAGCAAGAAGGCCAGUGCUGCUGGAUUAUUGAGUACAUAGGUAUUCCGCUUAAGAAGACUGGAAAGCUAGUAAAGGUAAGGUUGUAAAGACCUUUGAAAGCCAAACAUAGGAUUCUAUAUUUGAUUUUAGAUGGCGUAAAAAGCAACUUGAGAAUAUGAGGGGGGAUAUACAGGCAACAACAACUGAGGGGGGGGGAAACGUAAAAAUAUUAGAGAUGCAUCAUCUCAAACAAAUUAAUGUCUUCUCACAGCAUUAAAAAAUGCAAAGUAAUAAUCUCUAAAGAUGAUCAGGCCUUGUUCAACGCUUACUAGGUGUCAGUUAGUAUGCUAAAUGCUAGGAAUACAAAUUUACGAAGAAAAAUAUCAGGUCCUUUGGAAGCUUGAAAUCUAAUGAUACAAUGAAUAAAACAAAAAAAAGUGAGGGAAACGUACA
This 1435-nucleotide long non-coding RNA is filed under the name Monodelphis domestica (gray short-tailed opossum). RNAcentral describes it as "lncRNA (ENSMODG00000035786.2)". The record is from RNAcentral. Lineage: Eukaryota; Metazoa; Chordata; Mammalia; Didelphimorphia; Didelphidae.